Molecule: ribosomal RNA, 917 nt
Filed under: Bacillus altitudinis
Lineage: Bacteria; Bacillati; Bacillota; Bacilli; Caryophanales; Bacillaceae
Description: bacterial SSU rRNA
Rfam family: Bacterial small subunit ribosomal RNA
Source: RNAcentral
UGCAAGUCGAGCGGACAGAAGGGAGCUUGCUCCCGGAUGUUAGCGGCGGACGGGUGAGUAACACGUGGGUAACCUGCCUGUAAGACUGGGAUAACUCCGGGAAACCGGAGCUAAUACCGGAUAGUUCCUUGAACCGCAUGGUUCAAGGAUGAAAGACGGUUUCGGCUGUCACUUACAGAUGGACCCGCGGCGCAUUAGCUAGUUGGUGAGGUAACGGCUCACCAAGGCGACGAUGCGUAGCCGACCUGAGAGGGUGAUCGGCCACACUGGGACUGAGACACGGCCCAGACUCCUACGGGAGGCAGCAGUAGGGAAUCUUCCGCAAUGGACGAAAGUCUGACGGAGCAACGCCGCGUGAGUGAUGAAGGUUUUCGGAUCGUAAAGCUCUGUUGUUAGGGAAGAACAAGUGCAAGAGUAACUGCUUGCACCUUGACGGUACCUAACCAGAAAGCCACGGCUAACUACGUGCCAGCAGCCGCGGUAAUACGUAGGUGGCAAGCGUUGUCCGGAAUUAUUGGGCGUAAAGGGCUCGCAGGCGGUUUCUUAAGUCUGAUGUGAAAGCCCCCGGCUCAACCGGGGAGGGUCAUUGGAAACUGGGAAACUUGAGUGCAGAAGAGGAGAGUGGAAUUCCACGUGUAGCGGUGAAAUGCGUAGAGAUGUGGAGGAACACCAGUGGCGAAGGCGACUCUCUGGUCUGUAACUGACGCUGAGGAGCGAAAGCGUGGGGAGCGAACAGGAUUAGAUACCCUGGUAGUCCACGCCGUAAACGAUGAGUGCUAAGUGUUAGGGGGUUUCCGCCCCUUAGUGCUGCAGCUAACGCAUUAAGCACUCCGCCUGGGGAGUACGGUCGCAAGACUGAAACUCAAAGGAAUUGACGGGGGCCCGCACAAGCGGUGGAGCAUGUGGUUUAAUUCGAA